RNAcentral lists this ribosomal RNA (367 nucleotides) under Candona sp. 33 IK-2020. Its description in RNAcentral is "partial large subunit ribosomal RNA". It matches the Rfam family "Archaeal large subunit ribosomal RNA", at positions 2033 to 2635 of the family's 2987-position model. The record is from RNAcentral. Lineage: Eukaryota; Metazoa; Arthropoda; Ostracoda; Podocopida; Candonidae.
GUAGCAUAAUAAUUUGUCUUUUAAUUGAGGGCUGGAAUGAAAGGUUUUAUGGGGAAUAGCUGUUUUAAAAUAAAAAAUUGAAGUUAAGCCCUUCAUAAAAACUUGAAGGGGCGCUCAAGGGACGAGAAGACCCUGUGGAUUUUUAUUUAUUAAAAAAUAAUUUUUAUAAUUUUUUAUUUUUUAUGUAAAUUUGGUUGGGACGACAUCAAAGUUAACUUUGUUUUAAGUAUAAUUUAGACCCUUUUUAAGGAAGAAAGAAUAAAUUACCCCAGGGAUAACAGCGUAAUACUUUUGGACAGGACAAAUGGAUAAAAGUGUUUGCGACCUCGAUGUUGAAUUAAAAUACCUUUAUUAAGCAUAAAUAAUA